GAUGAACGCUGGCGGCGUGCCUAAUACAUGCAAGUCGAGCGAACAGACGAGGAGCUUGCUCCUCUGACGUUAGCGGCGGACGGGUGAGUAACACGUGGAUAACCUACCUAUAAUACUGGGAUAACUUCGGGAAACCGGAUCUAAUACCGGAUAAUAUAUUUAACCGCUUGGUUCAAUAGUUAAAUACGGUUUUUCCGUCUCUUUUAGAUGGAUCCGCGCCGCAUUAGCUAGUUGGUAAGGUAACGGCUUACCAAGGCAACGAUGCGUAGCCGACCUGAGAGGGUGAGCGGCCACACUGGAACGGAGACACGGUCCAGACUCCGACGGGAGGCAGCAGUAGGGAAUCUUCCGCAAUGGGCGAAAGCCUGACGGAGCAAGGCCGAGUGAGUGAUGAAGGUCUUCGGAUCGUAAAACUCUGUUAUUAGGGAAGAACAAAUGUGUAAGUAACUAUGCACGUCUUGACGGUACCUAAUCAGAAAGCCACGGCUAACUACGUG
Molecule: ribosomal RNA, 497 nt
Filed under: uncultured bacterium
Lineage: Bacteria
Description: partial 16S ribosomal RNA
Rfam family: Bacterial small subunit ribosomal RNA
Source: RNAcentral